CCCUUAGAUGUUCUGGGCUGCACGCGCGCUACACUGAAGCUAUCAACACGUUUUCCCUCCCUGAGAAGGGCGGGUAACCUUUUGAAUCAGCUUCGUGGUAGGGAUCGGGGCUUGCAAUUGUUCCCCGUGAACCAGGAACUCCUAGUAGACGCGAGUCAUAAGCUCGCAUCGAUUAAGUCCCUGCCCUUUGUACACACCGCCCGUCGCUACUACCGAUUGAACGUUUUAGUGAGGCAUUUGGACCGACGCAUCUCAGUUUAACCGCUGGUUUGUGUUGGAAAGACUUCCAAACUUGAGCGUUUAGAGGAAGUAAAAGUCGUAACA
Molecule: ribosomal RNA, 324 nt
Filed under: uncultured eukaryote
Lineage: Eukaryota
Description: partial 18S ribosomal RNA
Rfam family: Eukaryotic small subunit ribosomal RNA
Source: RNAcentral